AGCUGGUCUGAAGGUAAUGAGUUAUCUCAACUGAUUGGUCAUGGCCAAUUACAGACAGAACUCCUUAUUUUACUUCCCCACCCCCCGACUACUGCACUUGACUAGUCAAAA
Unclassified non-coding RNA from Gorilla gorilla gorilla (western lowland gorilla), 111 nucleotides. It matches the Rfam family "Y RNA". Rfam says of the family: Y RNAs are components of the Ro ribonucleoprotein particle (Ro RNP), in association with Ro60 and La proteins. The Y RNAs and Ro60 and La proteins are well conserved, but the function of the Ro RNP is not known. The record is from Ensembl. Lineage: Eukaryota; Metazoa; Chordata; Mammalia; Primates; Hominidae.